AUUGAACGCUGGCGGCAUGCCUUACACAUGCAAGUCGAACGGCAGCACGGGAGCAAUCCUGGUGGCGAGUGGCGAACGGGUGAGUAAUAUAUCGGAACGUGCCCAGUCGUGGGGGAUAACGUAGCGAAAGCUACGCUAAUACCGCAUACGAUCUAUGGAUGAAAGCGGGGGAUCGCAAGACCUCGCGCGAUUGGAGCGGCCGAUAUCAGAUUAGGUAGUUGGUGGGGUAAAAGCUUACCAAGCCUGCGAUCUGUAGCUGGUCUGAGAGGACGACCAGCCACACUGGAACUGAGACACGGUCCAGACUCCUACGGGAGGCAGCAGUGGGGAAUUUUGGACAAUGGGCGCAAGCCUGAUCCAGCAAUGCCGCGUGCAGGAUGAAGGCCUUC
RNAcentral lists this ribosomal RNA (389 nucleotides) under uncultured bacterium. RNAcentral describes it as "bacterial SSU rRNA". It matches the Rfam family "Bacterial small subunit ribosomal RNA", at positions 30 to 419 of the family's 1533-position model. The record is from RNAcentral.